Molecule: long non-coding RNA, 581 nt
Organism: Dreissena polymorpha
Lineage: Eukaryota; Metazoa; Mollusca; Bivalvia; Myida; Dreissenidae
Exons: 3
Source: RefSeq, a predicted model, not a curated record
UGCCCCCCUUCGAAGAAGAGGGGGUAUAUUGCUUUGCUCAUGUCGGUCUGUCGGUCUGUCGGUCGGUCGGUCCGUCCACCAGGUGGUUGUCAGACGAUAACUCAAGAACGCUUAGGCUUAGGAUCAUGAAACUUCAUAGGUACAUUGAUCAUGACUCACAGAUGACCCCUAUUGAUUUUGAGGUCACUAGGUCAAAGGUCAAGGUCACUGUGACCCGAAAUAGUAAAAUGGUUUCCGGAUGAUAAUUCAAGAACGCUUAUGCCUAGGAUCAUGAAACUUCAUAGGUAGAUUGAUCAUGACUAGCAGAUGACCCCUAUUGAUUUUCAGGUCACUAGGUCAAAGGUCAAGGUCACGGUGACCCGAAAUAGUAAAAUGGUUUCCGGAUGAUAAUUCAAGAACGCUUAUGCCUAGGAUCAUGAAACUUGAUAGGUACAUUGAUCAUGACUGGCAGAUGACCCCUAUUGAUUUUCAGGUCACUAGGUCAAAGGUCAAGGUCACAGUGACAAAAAACAUAUUUACAAAAUGGCUGUCACUACAACUUAGAGCCCAUAUGGGGGGCAUGCAUGUUUUACAAACAGCCC